RNAcentral lists this non-coding RNA (85 nucleotides) under [Mannheimia] succiniciproducens MBEL55E. RNAcentral's name for it is "Mannheimia succiniciproducens MBEL55E Aggregatibacter sRNA 69". It matches the Rfam family "Aggregatibacter sRNA 69". Rfam says of the family: Validated by RT-PCR. Has Rho-independent terminator. The record is from Rfam by way of RNAcentral. Lineage: Bacteria; Pseudomonadati; Pseudomonadota; Gammaproteobacteria; Pasteurellales; Pasteurellaceae.
UAAAGUAAAACUGCGGUUAUAGUUGCUAUUUUUUUUCAGACGAACAAUAAUAGAGCCCGAAAAAAGAUGAGUAAAUAACUUUUUC